Molecule: unclassified non-coding RNA, 1125 nt
Filed under: Hevea brasiliensis (rubber tree)
Lineage: Eukaryota; Viridiplantae; Streptophyta; Magnoliopsida; Malpighiales; Euphorbiaceae
Source: RNAcentral
AGUGAGAUGGGCUUACUUGGGCUUAUGCCAACCAUUUCUAAAAGGUUAAACCUAACCAAUUAGUUUAGUUAGCCUAGACGCUUAUAAACUCAUUAAAUUUGUUGUAUACUUCAGAUGUGGGAUUUGGAACUCUUAACACCAAGCUGACAUCCUUAAUUCUAUGAAUUUGUUCAACUUUGAUAUCAUGUCUAUUGCUAGCCAUCACUGACAAUUUCAAUUCCACAUUUAAGAAAAUAGAAUGCUUUUGCAUAGACACAGUUAGACGUGCCCUAUUUUGACACAGCUCAUUAUGGUUGAGCAGUUUUCGAUUUGAACAAAAAAAUGAACUGAACCGAGCCAAUUCGAUUCAGUUUGUUGGUUCAAUCAUUUUAAUUCGGUUAUUUUUUUUUAGUAAUUUCCAUUUUCGAUUCGGUUCGGUUAAUUAACCAAAAUUUAAGGAAAAACCGAAUUGAUCAAUUAUUAUCCCAUUCCCAUCCCAUAUAGCUAUAUUCUCUUGUAAAUAACAAAACUUCUCCCGUAAAUCCCAUUCAAUAUCCACAUGACAAAAUCCCUUGCCCUACAUUUUCACUCACAGUUGAAGCCCAUCUAUCUUCAACAAGUCCCAUUCAUCUAUCUUCCACAACCGAAGCUUCUCCCACAAGUCCCAUUCAUCUAUCGACUUCUUCAACUACAAAAUUUUCUUUUUUUUGAUAUUAUUUCUAUUUCCAUUUUCAUUUCAUUUCAAGGCAAAUUCAGCUUAUGCCCUUUCGUCAAGUCCAAAUUUUCACCUCAGAAGCGACAAGGUGAAUAGCAUGUUCAAUUUCUAUGCAUUAAUCGCUAGGAUAAGCUAUAAUCCUUCCUUCUCAAGCCAGAUGAUGUUUUUGAAUAAGAGUAUGGGAGAAUAAAGAUGAUACAAGAAGGAAAAACAAGGGGAAAGUGUAAAAUCUUCAAUGAAGGACACACCCAUGCUUCUACUUCUACUUUGUGAAAAUAAUACUCUUUCAAUUCAAAAUUUUGAGGGUAAAGAAUUAUAAUCUUGUUAAUUUUAGAUCUAUAAUUUAGGGUUUAUGAUAUUGAUUUCAAUUUGUGAUUUAUGUUAUUAUUAUUUCAAUUUGUGAUUUUUUUUUUUUGAAAGUUUUCAAUUUG